CUAAAAAUCUAGCCCACCCACCCACAUAUUAACCACCACCAUAAAAAUAUUUUCACAUCUUAGUAAGGAUGACUGAAAAGCUAACAAGCGCAAUAGAUUCCGUACCGCAAGGGAAAGAUGAAAUAAAUGAAACACUUCAAGCAAAAAAUAGUAGAGAUUUUACCUCGUACCUUUUGCAUCAUGAUUUAACUAGUCCAACCAAGCACAAUGAAUUAAAGUUUGAAACCCCGAAACUGAAUGAGCUACUCCACGGCAGCUAAAAGAGCAAACCCGUCUCUGUUGCAAAAGAGUGGGAAGACCGUCAAGUAGCGGUGAUAAGCCUAUCGAACUCAGUGAUAGCUGGUUUCUCAAGAAAAGAAUCUUAGUUCACCCUAAAGCCCCCCAUAAUAAUAUAAAUAACAACACAACUUUAGAGCAAUCCAAACAAGGUACAGCCUGUUUGAAAAAGGAUACAACCUUCACUCGCGGGUAAUGAUACUUACUAUAACACCAAGUAGACCUAAAACCAGCCAUCUUAGUAAAAUGCGUUAAAGCUUCAUCUUAUACCACUCUUUCUCUCUUCCCACCCCCCAAUCACUAUUGAGAACUUCUAUACUAUAUAGAAAUUUUUAUGUUAAAACUAGUAACAAGAACCAAUUCUCUUAAAUACACGUGUAUGUUAGAGCGAACUCACCACUAACACUUAUUCUGCUUUGAAAAACAAUAGCAACUCCCUAAGAAAACCCUAUUAAUCAUUCUGUUAACCCUACACAAGAGUACUUCAAGAAAGAUAAAAAUGGAAAGAAGGAACUCGGCAAAUGGGGAAUCCCGCCUGUUUACUAAAAACACCGCCUCUUGACUAUCAUAAGAGGUCCAGCCUGCCCAGUGAGAAAUUCAACGGCCGCGGUAACCUGACCGUGCAAAGGUAGCGUAAUCACUUGUUUUUUAAAUAGAGACUAGUAUGAACGGCACCACGAGGAUAAAACUGUCUCCUUUCCAUAAUCAGUGAAACUAAUCUCCUAGUGAAAAAGCAAGGAUAUUACUGUAAGACGAAAAGACCCUAUGGAGCUUAAAACAAACAACUAAUGCUUUUCUUUCUCUUCCAAUUCUCCACCAAGCACUGUAGUUACUAAUUUUUGGUUGGGGUGACCACGGAGAAAAAUUUAUCCUCCACAACGAAACUCUUUAAACAAAGCCACAGCUUUAUCUAGCAAUAAAUUGGCGCACUGACCCAAUAACUUGAUCAGCGAACUAAGUUACCCUAGGGAUAACAGCGCAAUCCGCCUCGAGAGUCCUUAUUAACGGGCGGCUUUACGACCUCGAUGUUGGAUCAGGGUACCCCAGUGGUGCAGCCGCUACUAAAGGUCGC
RNAcentral lists this ribosomal RNA (1348 nucleotides) under Brachycephalus alipioi. RNAcentral's name for it is "partial 16S ribosomal RNA". It matches the Rfam family "Bacterial large subunit ribosomal RNA", at positions 387 to 2575 of the family's 2925-position model. Lineage: Eukaryota; Metazoa; Chordata; Amphibia; Anura; Brachycephalidae. The record is from RNAcentral.